AGUGAACGCUGGCGGUAGGCCUAACACAUGCAAGUCGUACGGCAGCACAGUAAGAGCUUGCUCUUACGGGUGGCGAGUGGCGGACGGGUGAGGAAUACAUCGGAAUCUACUUUUUCGUGGGGGAUAACGUAGGGAAACUUACGCUAAUACCGCAUACGACCUACGGGUGAAAGCAGGGGAUCUUCGGACCUUGCGCGAUUGAAUGAGCCGAUGUCGGAUUAGCUAGUUGGCGGGGUAAAGGCCCACCAAGGCGACGAUCCGUAGCCGGUCUGAGAGGAUGAUCAGCCACACUGGAACUGAGACACGGUCCAGACUCCUACGGGAGGCAGCAGUGGGGAAUAUUGGACAAUGGGCGCAAGCCUGAUCCAGCCAUACCGCGUGGGUGAAGAAGGCCUUCGGGUUGUAAAGCCCUUUUGUUGGGAAAGAAAAGCAGCAGGUUAAUACCCCGCUGUUCUGACGGUACCCAAAGAAUAAGCACCGGCUAACUUCGUG
Molecule: ribosomal RNA, 492 nt
Filed under: uncultured bacterium
Lineage: Bacteria
Description: partial 16S ribosomal RNA
Rfam family: Bacterial small subunit ribosomal RNA
Source: RNAcentral